Molecule: ribosomal RNA, 447 nt
Filed under: uncultured bacterium
Lineage: Bacteria
Description: bacterial SSU rRNA
Rfam family: Bacterial small subunit ribosomal RNA
Source: RNAcentral
UCGGGAAUUUUGGGCAAUGGGCGAAAGCCUGACCCAGCAACGCCGCGUGAAGGAUGAAGUAUUUCGGUAUGUAAACUUCGAAAGAAUAGGAAGAAUAAAUGACGGUACUAUUUAUAAGGUCCGGCUAACUACGUGCCAGCAGCCGCGGUAAUACGUAGGGACCAAGCGUUGUUCGGAUUUACUGGGCGUAAAGGGCGCGUAGGCGGCAUGACAAGUCACUUGUGAAAUCUCUGGGCUUAACCCAGAACGGCCAAGUGAUACUGUCGCGCUAGAGGAGUGGCGGAGAAAGCGGAAUUCCACGUGUAGCGGUGAAAUGCGUAGAUAUGUGGAAGAACACCGGUGGCGAAAGCGGCCUUCUAGCUUAUACCUGACGCUGAGGCGCGAGAGCAAGGGGAGCAAACAGGAUUAGAUACCCCCGUAGUCCCUGAGCGGGCUGGCAAGGCGCAU